GAGCGUAUAGCUCAGUGGUAGAGCACAUGCUUAGCAUACACGAGGUCCUGGGUUCAAGCCCCAGUACCUCCA
RNAcentral lists this transfer RNA (72 nucleotides) under Camelus bactrianus (Bactrian camel). It matches the Rfam family "tRNA". From Rfam's summary of the family: Transfer RNA (tRNA) molecules are approximately 80 nucleotides in length. Their secondary structure includes four short double-helical elements and three loops (D, anti-codon, and T loops). Further hydrogen bonds mediate the characteristic L-shaped molecular structure. tRNAs have two regions of fundamental functional importance: the anti-codon, which is responsible for specific mRNA codon recognition, and the 3' end, to which the tRNAs corresponding amino acid is attached (by aminoacyl-tRNA synthetases). tRNAs cope with the degeneracy of the genetic code in two manners: having more than one tRNA (with a specific anti-codon) for a particular amino acid; and 'wobble' base-pairing, i.e. permitting non-standard base-pairing at the 3rd anti-codon position. The record is from Rfam by way of RNAcentral. Lineage: Eukaryota; Metazoa; Chordata; Mammalia; Artiodactyla; Camelidae. RNAcentral also lists the same sequence under 2 other names.